RNAcentral lists this transfer RNA (84 nucleotides) under Betaproteobacteria bacterium. Its description in RNAcentral is "tRNA-Leu". It matches the Rfam family "tRNA". Rfam says of the family: Transfer RNA (tRNA) molecules are approximately 80 nucleotides in length. Their secondary structure includes four short double-helical elements and three loops (D, anti-codon, and T loops). The record is from RNAcentral. Lineage: Bacteria; Pseudomonadati; Pseudomonadota; Betaproteobacteria. RNAcentral also lists the same sequence under 1 other name.
GCCAGUGUGGCGGAAUGGCAGACGCCCUCGACUUAAAAUCGAGUGUCAUUAAUUGACGUGUGGGUUCGAAUCCCAUCACUGGUA